CAUCGUAUAAAACAUAUUAGACUUGCAUACCUCGCAAACAUUUCAAAUCAGUUGAAUAAAUUCAUUCGGGCCUGUGUAGUUUGUAGAUGUUCAGUGCAAAUUUUACACGGGGUUGUCAUAAACGUGUUACAAAGGAUAAUAUGUAUCAAAAGAUUUCAUGAACAACGACAUGUACUGCAAUUCCAAACUUAGUAUGGUUAGUGAGAAGGUGUCAAGAUGGAACUGAACGACGACAAUAUAUACGACCGCCGAAGAUCAUCAUAUCAAGGCAGUGGAUCUUGUGAGCUAAAAAUAGAAGCUUGGUACAACACCUAUCACAAACUUAUGUUCAAUUUUGAAAAUCUGAACCUAGAUUGUAGCGAAGGUCAUCUUGAAUUUUUCGUUGUUCAGAACAAAGACACGAGAGUAACGGGAUUAGAGCAUGACGUCUGUGGACUAAACAAACCCGAAGGUGUGUUUACAGUGGACACUAGGUUUUUAAAAAUAAAAUAUAUCCCUCGAAAGGGUCAGCAGAUCUUAGACGUCUUUUCAGUAAUCAUUACAGCUUUCA
This is a long non-coding RNA of Mercenaria mercenaria, 550 nucleotides long. RefSeq lists it as uncharacterized. The record is from RefSeq and is a predicted model, not a curated record. NCBI's taxonomy places the organism in Eukaryota, Metazoa, Mollusca, Bivalvia, Venerida, Veneridae. The transcript is spliced from 3 exons.